UACGAAGGGGGCUAGCGUUGCUCGGAAUUACUGGGCGUAAAGCGCACGUAGGCGGACCUUUAAGUCAGGGGUGAAAUCCUGGAGCUCAACUCCAGAACUGCCUUUGAUACUGAAGAUCUUGAGUUCGGGAGAGGUGAGUGGAACUGCGAGUGUAGAGGUGAAAUUCGUAGAUAUUCGCAAGAACACCAGUGGCGAAGGCGGCUCACUGGCCCGAUACUGACGCUGAGGCACGAAAGCGUGGGGAGCAAACAGG
This 253-nucleotide ribosomal RNA is filed under the name uncultured bacterium. RNAcentral's name for it is "partial 16S ribosomal RNA". It matches the Rfam family "Bacterial small subunit ribosomal RNA", at positions 524 to 776 of the family's 1533-position model. The record is from RNAcentral.